AUUAGUGGCCUAGCAGGUCAAAACAGGAAAUUAAAAAAUACUGUAAAAAAUACAAACUCAUCUUUGGCAAGAACCAUCAAAUUUAAACAGAGAAAUUAGGGUCGAACAAUCCCGUAAAGCGAACCAUUCCAUAGAGCUCUGCAACGCAGAUCUAAUUUCUCUAACACAAAUAUAAUGGAGUAAUAAUAUUAGAACUAUAUAAAAUUAGGAGAUCUGAUUAGAGGAUCAUCAAUAUACCUUUAGGCGGGUAGGCAGGAGGCAUAAAUAAAGUGUAUAAUAAAGCUGCAUCAUUUUUUCUCCUCUUCAUAGCCAUCUCAAAGAGAGGACAGAAAUGUGUAGAAUGUAGAGAGAUGUAUGGGAGCGGCGGUGAGGGAAGGGAGCCGCAAGGCAAGCCCUAAUCUAUAUAACUAAAAGGCUGAAUAACA
RNAcentral lists this long non-coding RNA (425 nucleotides) under Panax ginseng (ginseng). RNAcentral's name for it is "long non-coding RNA (PGIN_LNC010058)". Lineage: Eukaryota; Viridiplantae; Streptophyta; Magnoliopsida; Apiales; Araliaceae. The record is from RNAcentral.